UCUGGACAUGUCCACUCAGGACUCUGCCGGA
RNAcentral lists this non-coding RNA (31 nucleotides) under Rattus norvegicus (Norway rat). The record is from RNAcentral. Lineage: Eukaryota; Metazoa; Chordata; Mammalia; Rodentia; Muridae.